This 1171-nucleotide long non-coding RNA is filed under the name Homo sapiens (human). RNAcentral describes it as "HSALNT0368678". Lineage: Eukaryota; Metazoa; Chordata; Mammalia; Primates; Hominidae. The record is from RNAcentral.
CCACGUGACAAUAACACCGCUCCAGCCGGGGGCCUACGCGCGGGAGAAAGUGGAGCUGAGAUUGUAGGAAAUUCAGAGUUAUAUUUUCCAGCCUCUCCAGCCAGAAGUCUCCACUACGUCGUGGGAAACAUAUAUCAAAUGGAGUUGAAAGGCAAAAGGAAGUGAGCAAAUACUGGGCUAGUUCUCGGAGUUGGAGGUGAUCAGCGCCACAAGAUGUUGAAACUAAUGGAGACCGCAGAGAUCAUGUGCUAAGGGGCCUUCCUCCUCUGGGGUGGGAGAAGGAAUGUUCUCUGGAGAAAUCUGUAUGAUAGAAUAGUGAAGGUAACUGGCCUGAACUACAGCUCUUGAGCCAUCUGGUUUCACCUUCAGGGAGGUGCAGAGAGUGCUGGAAUGGAGGGUUAAUUGACCAUGGUGGAAAAGAGAGAAACAUUUUGAGGUCCCACUGAAGCUGAAUGACUGUGCAGGUUGAUACACUGGACAUUUUCGGUGAAACCUGUGUGAACAGACAACUGGAGGGUCAGAUGAUUUAUCCUCUCCCCAGUACCUUGGCACAAGCCUAGGCUACAGAAUGAGAUGCACGUAAGAAGUCUGUGACCUGGACCAGAGCAGCCCAGCUGAACACAUGCUGGAUUGGAAGAACCACCUUUGACCUGAAGACCUCUUCAGGAGAGAUUUGAUGAAAAAAAUUAUAUUUUGGCAUCAUCUUGACUCUUGAACUUACUCCCAGAUCAGCUACAAAUUUGUCCUAUGGCCUGAGGCACUGAAAACACGACAGAGCUCUGCAAUAAUUUCCAGUCAGACCAGACAACCUAGUUAUUCCCUUUUCCCAGGUGUCCCGGUGACCUAUAUUAUUGUCAACAACAAGGCAUUACUUCAGCUUCAAGUCUUGCAAAAUCUACUGGAUUGGAAGACCAGAUAUUCAUUUCACCAUUUAGCUGAAAAUGCACAGUACAUUUUAGAAUGAUGGGGUUUGUUUAGCUCAUCUAUCCGUCCAUCCUUACUUUUAUUCUAUUGGGUUCUUAAUUCAAAAGAAAGACUGCCACCUACUGGAUGUGUGAUACGAAGAAGAUAUUAGCAUUAAAAUAUACUCUCUCAUUAAAGGUUGAUUCAAAAUAAUUGCAGAAGAAAAUAUUCAAAAGAAUGUCCAAUUUUUACAGAUAAGUAUUGAACA